Molecule: transfer RNA, 71 nt
Filed under: Loxodonta africana (African savanna elephant)
Lineage: Eukaryota; Metazoa; Chordata; Mammalia; Proboscidea; Elephantidae
Rfam family: tRNA
About the family: Transfer RNA (tRNA) molecules are approximately 80 nucleotides in length.
Source: Rfam by way of RNAcentral
GCAGUGUUGGUUCAGCGGUAGAAUUCUCGCCUUCUAUGUGGGAGACCCAGGUUUGAUUCCCAGCCAGUGCA